UACGUAGGGUGCGAGCGUUAAUCGGAAUUACUGGGCGUAAAGCGUGCGCAGGCGGUUUUGUAAGUCUGUCGUGAAAUCCCCGGGCUCAACCUGGGAAUGGCGAUGGAGACUGCAAGGCUAGAGUUUGGCAGAGGGGGGUAGAAUUCCACGUGUAGCAGUGAAAUGCGUAGAUAUGUGGAGGAACACCGAUGGCGAAGGCAGCCCCCUGGGUCAAAACUGACGCUCAUGCACGAAAGCGUGGGGAGCAAACAGG
RNAcentral lists this ribosomal RNA (253 nucleotides) under uncultured bacterium. Its description in RNAcentral is "partial 16S ribosomal RNA". It matches the Rfam family "Bacterial small subunit ribosomal RNA", at positions 524 to 776 of the family's 1533-position model. The record is from RNAcentral.